This 832-nucleotide ribosomal RNA is filed under the name uncultured Pseudomonadota bacterium. RNAcentral describes it as "bacterial SSU rRNA". It matches the Rfam family "Bacterial small subunit ribosomal RNA", at positions 35 to 883 of the family's 1533-position model. Lineage: Bacteria; Pseudomonadati; Pseudomonadota. The record is from RNAcentral.
GCUGGCGGCAUGCCUAACACAUGCAAGUCGAACGAGAAAGUUCCUUCGGGAGCGAUUAAAGUGGCGCACGGGUGAGUAACGCGUAGACAAUCUGCCCUUCAGUCUGGGACAACUUUUCGAAAGGAGAGCUAAUACCGGAUGACAAUGUAACACAUAAGUGUCACAUUUGAAAGCUCCGGCGCUGAAGGAGGGGUCUGCGUCCCAUUAGCUAGUUGGUAAGGUAAAGGCUUACCAAGGCGACGAUGGGUAGCGGGUUUGAGAGGACGAUCCGCCACACUGGAACUGAGACACGGUCCAGACUCCUACGGGAGGCAGCAGUGGGGAAUAUUGCACAAUGGAGGCAACUCUGAUGCAGCAAUGUCGCGUGAGUGAAGAAGGCCCUUGGGUCGUAAAGCUCUUUUAUGGGGGAAGAUGAUGACGGUACCCCAAGAAUAAGCACCGGCUAACUACGUGCCAGCAGCCGCGGUAAUACGUAGGGUGCGAGCGUUGUUCGGAAUUACUGGGCGUAAAGGGCGCGCAGGCGGAAUAGUAAGUCGGAGGUGAAAGCCCGGGGCUCAACCCCGGAGGGUCUUUCGAAACUGCUAAUCUAGAGAGGGUCAGGGGCCAGCAGAAUUCUUGGUGUAGAGGUGAAAUUCGUAGAUAUCAAGAGGAAUACCGGUGGCGAAAGCGGCUGGCUGGGGCCACUCUGACGCUGAGGCGCGAAAGCGUGGGGAGCAAACAGGAUUAGAUACCCUGGUAGUCCACGCCGUAAACGAUGAGCACUGGAUGUCCGGAGGGUUCGACCCUUCUGGGUGUCUCAGCUAACGCAUUAAGUGCUCCGCCUGGGGAGUAC